UCGGACUUUCGAGCGGGUGAAAUUUCACCCGCUCGAAAUGGACUGUUUUUCAAUUGAGCUCGACCUCCCUCCGCAGCGCUCAACCUCACUCCGCUCGACCUCCCUCCGCAGGACCUCCCUUCGCAGCGCUGGACCUCCCUCCGCAGCUCCUCCACUGCGCCGUCGCGUCUCCGUCGUUACCUCUCUGCGCCGUCGACUCUCUGCCACAGUUGCCGCUCCUUCCCUCUGCUACUGCUCGUUGGGAGCGGUGCCAACCAUUAGUCUAUCGGUACAAGGGUGCCCUCUUCAGAUCGUUUGAUUCAUUGAAAGUAGCUGAGUAUCACAUGCAUGAGUAUGUCUACAACAAGUAUGGUGUGCAAGUAUGUAGGCCUCCACUCAUUGAAGAUGACAUCGCAGAUGAAGAUAUAGAAGACACGAAGCUUGAAGAACGAAAGUGCAGCUACAAAUGUUGGAUUACUUCUUUUGCGAUUGCAUGUUUUUUUUGUUGGAUAUGUACUCAUUAAACUUCUGCUUUUCUGGAUAGUAGGGAAUACACUUUUUUGUGGGAUUGUACUCAUUAAACUUAUGUGGACAUGUACUUUUGU
Long non-coding RNA from Nymphaea colorata (pocket water lily), 584 nucleotides. RefSeq lists it as uncharacterized. The record is from RefSeq and is a predicted model, not a curated record. The transcript is spliced from 3 exons. NCBI's taxonomy places the organism in Eukaryota, Viridiplantae, Streptophyta, Magnoliopsida, Nymphaeales, Nymphaeaceae.